CAACGUGUGGGAGCUGACACGCGGCCGCUGCCCCUCUCCAGCCCCUCCCUUUCCUCCCCUCGCUCUCUCCCCUACUCUUUUCUGUAAGCCGAGACGUCACAGUGGUCUUCAUCCCCGCCACAGAGACCCAUACGAAGACGUCACAAAUAUUCACACCAUCAGAGAGAGAGAGAGAGAGAGAGAGAGAGAGAGAGAGAGAGAGAGACACUUAUUGAACACACUAUCUCUGGUGUUUCAGAUCACAAUGCUUGCCUUGCUGGACUCGGCGGACCCUGAGAGAAAGGAGAGGAAACGCAGUGAAAGGAAGGUGCGCGAGGUCGUGCGAGGGCCCACAUCUGGCCAGACCCCAUCAGUCUGCAGACCGAGGCGUCAACGAUGCAGACGCCGGGGACUUGACAAGGACAACAAGAUAACGAGUUCGUUAGCACCUGUGGCAGGGAUGCAGCAGUAGCAGCAGCAGCAGCAGCAGCAGCAGCAGCAGCGGCAGUGCGAGG
Portunus trituberculatus (swimming crab) is the source of this 494-nucleotide long non-coding RNA. RefSeq lists it as uncharacterized. The record is from RefSeq and is a predicted model, not a curated record. Lineage: Eukaryota; Metazoa; Arthropoda; Malacostraca; Decapoda; Portunidae. The transcript is spliced from 4 exons.